RNAcentral lists this long non-coding RNA (1017 nucleotides) under Marmota monax (woodchuck). The record is from RNAcentral. Lineage: Eukaryota; Metazoa; Chordata; Mammalia; Rodentia; Sciuridae.
GGAAUUCACGUUGCGGAGCCGCCAUUGCCUGCUGCACUCCCUAGAGAAAGUCAUUGUGUGAUAAUGGAAAGGUCACUCGGUCUCUAAGAGUCUUUUUCAUGUGUAAAUAGGAGAGUUGGACCAGAGAAGCCGACUGCACGGACACUCGCCUGCCCCCCUCGUGGGGGCCCGGGAGCGCAGAGGGAAGAUGCCAGGGCCCACAGGAGGAGGAAUACGUUCCACAAACAAGGAAACAGUUCAUACCUACGUAAUUUCCCCCUGUCCUACGGGUACGCUGCAGAACUCGCUUCAAACCUAGGCUGUGCAUAUUUCCUAUGCCCCUCAUCUUUUCUCAGUAUUUCCCAGCUCACUCGCUUCUGGCGGGAUCGUGAAGUCCCAUCAUCUGCAUUGGGAAAUAAAGCAUUAAAAGAGCAGAUGAUGGCCCUGAGUUUUUUCCCAUAGCGACAGUGUAGCCGACCUAGCAAUAGAAUCAGAUCUGACUUGGAGCUGUCUUCUGGAAUUGAGGAAGGACGAGCCCCCUAUCUAGGCAACCCGGUGGGGGAAGUUCUGUUUUCUGAGCUUGCUGGGCUCCUGAAGGCCAUGGCGGGUUAAUAGUCUCUGUGUCUCCAGCUCAGAAGUUUGGGGUGCCCUAAUAGCGUAGUCAGUAACCAACAGCUUUUGUAUUAUGAACAGUUUCUAUUUUGACAAUUUCUCAAUCCCAUCUAGCAAAAUGAAAAAUAAGCUUUUCCUCUCCUUAGAACUUGAAAUUUUGUUUAUAUGCAUUAUGAGUAUUAGUGAAAAAUACGAAUUUCACUGCCUUGUUUUCUUGUUUGUUUGGGGUGGAGGCGUACGGAGGAUUGAACUCCGGGGCAGUCCACCCCAGAGCCACAUUCUCAGCCCCAUUUAAUAUUUUAUUUAGAAGCAAGGUCUCACUGAGUUGCUUAGCACCCCACUUUUGUGUGUGGGUGCUGGGGAUUGAACCCAGGGCCUUGUGCAUGUGAGGCAAGCACUUUACCUACCAACUGAGGUACAUCCCCA